UCCCCGUUACCGGGGCAGUCUAGCUAGAAAAAUUCAACUAACUAUAAGGGUUGCGCUCGUUGAUGGACUUAACCAAACAUCUCACGACACGAGCUGAAGACGGCCAUGCAACACCUGUCAUCGGAUUCCCGAAGGCACUUUCUCCUUUCGGAGAAAUUCCCGAGAUGUCAAACCUUGGUAAGGUUCUUCGCUUAUCGUCGAAUUAAACAACACGCUCCACCGCUUGUGCGGGUCCCCGUCAAUUCCUUUAUGUUUUAAGCUUGCGCUCGUACUCCACAGGCGGGAUGCUUAACGCGUUAGCUUCGCUACUAGAAGGGUCGAUACUUCUAACAGCUAGCAUCCAUAGUUUACGGCGUGGACUAC
Molecule: unclassified non-coding RNA, 363 nt
Filed under: uncultured bacterium
Lineage: Bacteria
Description: contains 16S-23S intergenic spacer region
Source: RNAcentral